GAUGAACGCUGGCGGCGUGCUUAACACAUGCAAGUCGAACGGAAAGGCCAGUGCUUGCGCUGGUACUCGAGUGGCGAACGGGUGAGUAACACGUGGGUGAUCUGCCCUGCACUUCGGGAUAAGCUUGGGAAACUGGGUCUAAUACCGGAUAGGACCAUUGGUUGGUGCCUUUGGUGGAAAGUUUUUUCGGUGUGGGAUGAGCUCGCGGCCUAUCAGCUUGUUGGUGGGGUAAUGGCCUACCAAGGCGUCGACGGGUAGCCGGCCUGAGAGGGUGUACGGCCACAUUGGG
RNAcentral lists this ribosomal RNA (289 nucleotides) under uncultured bacterium. RNAcentral's name for it is "partial 16S ribosomal RNA". It matches the Rfam family "Bacterial small subunit ribosomal RNA", at positions 28 to 317 of the family's 1533-position model. The record is from RNAcentral.